Molecule: ribosomal RNA, 468 nt
Filed under: uncultured bacterium
Lineage: Bacteria
Description: partial 16S ribosomal RNA
Rfam family: Bacterial small subunit ribosomal RNA
Source: RNAcentral
GACGAACGCUGGCGGCGUGCUUAACACAUGCAAGUCGAACGGAAAGGCCCUGCUUUUGUGGGGUGCUCGAGUGGCGAACGGGUGAGUAACACGUGAGUAACCUGCCCUUGACUUUGGGAUAACUUCAGGAAACUGGGGCUAAUACCGGAUAGGAGCUCCUGCUGCAUGGUGGGGGUUGGAAAGUUUCGGCGGUUGGGGAUGGACUCACGGCUUAUCAGCUUGUUGGUGGGGUAGUGGCUUACCAAGGCUUUGACGGGUAGCCGGCCUGAGAGGGUGACCGGCCACAUUGGGGCUGAGAUACGGCCCAGACUCCUACGGGAGGCAGCAGUGGGGAAUAUUGCACAAUGGGCGGAAGCCUGAUGCAGCAACGCCGCGUGCGGGAUGACGGCCUUCGGGUUGUAAACCGCUUUCGCCUGUGACGAAGCGUGAGUGACGGUAAUGGGUAAAGAAGCACCGGCUAACUACGUG